RNAcentral lists this long non-coding RNA (3952 nucleotides) under Phasianus colchicus (ring-necked pheasant). RNAcentral describes it as "lncRNA (ENSPCLG00000011449.1)". Lineage: Eukaryota; Metazoa; Chordata; Aves; Galliformes; Phasianidae. The record is from RNAcentral.
ACAGAAUCCUGACUCAUAAAGGACACAUCAAAAGAACAAGAUUUGUUCUUCCCAUCUACAGAGAUUACAGAAGCAUUGUGAGAGGUCAGAUCUUCAGCUGCUUGUAACCAGACCUGUCUAGUCAAUUGCUGUCGGGACAAGACUCAUGCUCUCAGACCCCAUCUCCUGCUUCCGUCUGCAGUGCAGGCCUCCGUCCUGCUGCGGGCGGCCCCGAGCUGGAGGGAAGCCAUGGUGCUGUGCUGCAUGCGGCACUGCGUCUGCGAACAGGCUGUGCUGGAAGGUGUGCUUCCCAGCUGAUGGGACAUCGCUUCCACCAGACCCAGCUGCCCGUCCCCUCUGCUGGCGAAGGUGGUAUGACAUAUCCCUUGUGACCUGGAGGCCCUGCAUUGCCCUGCUGAGCAGCAAAAAUACUGACCAGAUUACACUGCUAUGGUCCCUUUCCCACUCUACUGAGUUUUGUGGCUGAUUCUGGUCAAACUCCUUGCACCAAGUCCCCACACUGUUGCUGUUAUUUCAGUGUGCAGCCAACUCUUUGCAUCACCUGUGCUUCUACAAGGGGUGAUACUGGAAAUGGCAGAUGUAAGAACCAAGGAUAACUUGAGAAGGAGCUAAGAUGUCAGAGAAUGGUGGUCAGACAAUAUUAAAAACACUUUCUAUGCACAUUCCUUUAUUCUCUAAGGCAAAUAUGAAGCCCUAGCAGUAAAAUGGGAAGAAUCAGCAGUAGCACAGAGGUGUGUGCCAGCAACAGAGCAAUUGUCAUCUACACAUCAGAUGCUUAAAAUGCCACAUGCAACAAUGCAGAGCACAAUGCAGAGGGCUCACUGCUAAGCUUUUUCACAGUUCACUGCCACUGAAAGGAGCAGCAAAAAUGCUGGGGAAAAUGUUGACAACUGGAAUCACAGCUUCUGUUUUACAGCCCAGGGAUUCUGGCUUGCAAAACAAGCACAAAAUUCCAACCAACAAUUCAAACCAUUUAGAAGUUCAGUACAGCAUCCAUACCAAAAAUUAUAUGGGCCGAUCUGCUUGGAAUUUAGCUAAGUGAAAUAGAGAUUUGAUUCCAAAAGCACAGAUAUGAGCUGAAGCUUUUUCUGUACAAGCUUCUUUCACAGCUAUUCAUCAGGCAGUAACCCAUGGGCAUCUCCACCCCACACAGCUGGGCACAGACCACAGGCAGGGCAGUAAGAUGUGCCUCCAUCACAAAACAUGGGGAUGCGAGAAGGUGCUGGCUCCUGUCCCAGCUGGAACACAGAUGGCUUUAUGUGGGGCUGCACCCAAACUAAAAAUCCCUUUUUUGAAGCAAGGCCAAUUAGUAAUUAUAUUGCAUCCGGCUCUGGAAAUAGGUAGCUCAGGGCAGUUUGCCUCUGUGCUUCACUGCUGGGCGUAGACGUGACUAAAACUGCAGCACAGUGCUGAAGAGACUGUGACUCUCAUGCUGCUUUUUAAAGUCACCUUUGAAAAUCAUGAUGGGUGUGUGGGGGAUCUUUCAGCUUAUUUAGUUUUCCACUGAAAUAUAGUGCUUGAGGUCCUUCAGCUCAUCACAUCAUUCCUGUACCAUAUGAGUCAUACAACUUCCUGUCUAGGAACCAGGCAGAGCUCUUCUGAUUUCAGAGUCCCAACAUGACAGGCAAGCAUGUAAGUAGGCUGCAGUAGUGACUGCAAGAAGGAUCAUGGCCACCCAGGCAGGAGUUGAGGAGCAAGGCAUCAUGCUCUGUGUUCCUUCUUUUGUGAGAUUAGAGAAUGCCUCAGCUCAUUACACUACAAAACACCCUCAAGCAGAAAGUGACAUGGUUUCAACUUUUGUUUUGGGCCUCUGUACUCUUUCCCUCCCUCAGUUUCCCCAUUUUUAAUUUGUUCCUGACUGCCCUAUGGCAGCUGCACUUCUAAACCAGUGGUGCUCAGCCCAGUGUUGCAAUUUGCUCUGCAUCAGUUUGGGGGCCCUGUCACAGCCCCCCAGGCUAAUGGCUGAUGAUAUCUGUUCCUUCUCCAGAGUAAUGCUGGUGGGAGUGGACUUUGGCUGUCAAGUCUCCUGUUACUGCCUGAAGUUUUGCACUGCCUUCACUGUAUUCAAACUGAGGCGUCUGAUUAUAUGAAAUGUACUCACACUUAAUUCCUGCAUGGUCUUUUCUGCUGUUAACUUUUGGUUCAAGAGAAUAAUAUGUGUAAAAAUGCACUCAGCUUUUUACCAGCAGAGCUAGAAUACUCAUAGUGUAAUUACUUAGAGAUGCUAUUUUCAACCACUGUACAUUGCUUUCACUGGUAAAAUGGCAAAAUGAUCUUGAUUUGAACAUCACAGUUACUGCUGACACAACACUGGCUUUGCUCCACAGGUUUUGAUGACUUAUCCUCAUGACAAUUAUUUUGGGAUUGUUUCGUUCAACAGUUUUUGAUGAUGAAUUUCUGGUUGUUUCUGAAUAGCUUACUGCUGGGAGUUCUUCACUCACUGCUUUUGAAAUUCCUGUUUCUAUUGUGGAAGUUGUUGGGAGUGGAGUUUUCUCCUUCCUGGAUGGGAUUCUCCUCUAGCUCAGCAAUGCUCCUAAUCCCAUGUUUCUGACAUCAGUUGCCAUGGGAAUGUCUGAGCACUGCACACUCAAUGACCUGAUUUUUCUGCAGAAACCAUAUGAGAAAGAGGAUGAAAUCAGAGGGAGCUCCGUCAUUCAUAUGAUGUACAAAAUACAAAUUUAUGUGGCAAACGGCCACAGCUGCAAAAGCUGGGCAGCCUGAAGUGAUUUUUUGUGUUUAAGGUGUAAGGCUUGAAGCAGAGGAAGACUCUUCUUCUGUGUCUCCUAAACUCCUAGCUCUUGUUCUUAGUCUGAACUAGAUAGUCUGACAGUCCAGGCACAAUGCUGCUGGGUCCUUCUCUUCACAGAUAUACGUUGUUUAGGUUUGAGGUUGCUGUUGUUCAUGACACUUCCAUGCUUUUUUGAAAUCUGGAUAGUUGAAUGAGGCAUCAACACAGGAUUUAGAUUUGUUUCUUCUCUUUUACCUCUAGAUGUUUCAUGGUUUUAAUUUGCUAGCAAAAAAGAAAUCCCUAGCCCUUGGAAUGUUUCCUUCUAAUCAGAUUGCACUUUACCUUAAUUUCAGCAACACUUGUGUUUCCACUGAAAUGAAAAUACAAAAUAAUGUCCUCUGAUUUUUUAGAUAAUUCCUUUCAUCCUCUACUUAGCUGUCUUCUGAAAAUCUCGACCUGUCAUCUAAAGAGAACUAUUUGUGCUGAAACCUGUGCUGUUAGAAAGGAAUUUCCUUUGUUCAAACACAAUGAAUUCAUUGACUGUGCAGAAAUGAAAACUACUGCAAUUUAGUCACAUUUCAUACAGUUAAUUUAUAGAAAGAUUUUUAGUCAUAUGUCAUUUGUAUGUACCUGAUGAUGGUGGAGCUGAUUGGUUAUUACAAUUUCCCGAUUCACAAUGCAAGCAAACGUGCUAUCUUUGAUGGAAUUUUACAUUAUUGUCCCACUUUUGAGAAAUAUUCUGCCCGUGGAAAAGGGCAGAUAUGCUAGCUCCUUACUUUUAACUCUCUUACUGUGAUCAGUGGGUUCUUAUUUGGCACUGGUAUGAGCUGAAACUACUGAGAAGAAAAGGAAAGCCCCCUGCUCUUUGUAGCCACCAGAAUUCAAGCAGUGGAGUACAUGGCCUGAUGUAAUCUAGUUCUGUAAAAUAUGCUCAGAUCUGGUAAAAAAUCACUUUUCCUUUAGUGAGAAGCUAACUUGCAAAAUCUGCUUUCAUUUUGUAGGUCAGCCUACUCUGCUAUAUGAAUUAAAUGUGCAACUUCUUUGAUGACAGCAUUUUGUUUAAGCUGGUGAAUGACUCUAUGCCUUGCCAAUUUAUGACACUAUUUCCCUCUGGGCAUCCCUUUUGGCUUAUCUGUUACUGCCAAGAUAUGUGAAUUCAAUCAUCUGGUAGUAGUUGAGUUGCACAUCUCACUCCAAUAAAUGGCUGAUGGUCAAGCUGACUCA